This 95-nucleotide transfer RNA is filed under the name Amycolatopsis sp. NBRC 101858. RNAcentral describes it as "tRNA-Gly". Lineage: Bacteria; Bacillati; Actinomycetota; Actinomycetes; Pseudonocardiales; Pseudonocardiaceae. The record is from RNAcentral.
UGGAGCUGGUCCGCGGCGAGGUCGCCGUGGUCGCCGGCUACGACGGCGGGUCGGCGGUCGAACCGGCCCGCGCGUUCAAGGAGCUCGGCUUCGAC